AGAGUUUGAUCCUGGCUCAGAGUGAACGCUGGCGGCAGGCCUAACACAUGCAAGUCGAACGGCAGCAUGGGAAGAACUUGUUCUUCCCGAUGGCGAGUGGCGGACGGGUGAGGAAUGCAUCGGAAUCUGCCCAUUUGUGGGGGAUAACGUAGGGAAACUUACGCUAAUACCGCAUACGACCUUCGGGUGAAAGCCGGGGAUCCUUCGGGACCUGGCGCAGAUGGAUGAGCCGAUGCCGGAUUAGCUAGUUGGAGGGGUAAAGGCCCACCAAGGCGACGAUCCGUAGCUGGUCUGAGAGGAUGAUCAGCCACACUGGGACUGAGACACGGCCCAGACUCCUACGGGAGGCAGCAGUGGGGAGUAUUGGACAAUGGGCGCAAGCCUGAUCCAGCCAUGCCGCGUGUGUGAAGAAGGCCUUCGGGUUGUAAAGCACUUUUGUUGGGGAAGAAAAGCAGUCGGUUAAUACCCGGUUGUCAUGACGGUACCCAAAGAAUAAGCACCGGCUAACUUCGUGCCAGCAGCCGCGGUAAUACGAAGGGUGCAAGCGUUACUCGGAAUUACUGGGCGUAAAGCGUGCGUAGGUGGUUUGUUAAGUCUGAUGUGAAAGCCCUGGGCUCAACCUGGGAACUGCAUUGGAUACUGGCAGACUGGAGUGCGGUAGAGGAUAGCGGAAUUCCCGGUGUAGCAGUGAAAUGCGUAGAUAUCGGGAGGAACAUCUGUGGCGAAGGCGGCUAUCUGGACCAGCACUGACACUGAGGCACGAAAGCGUGGGGGAGCAAACAGGAUUAGAUACCCUGGUA
Molecule: ribosomal RNA, 800 nt
Filed under: uncultured bacterium
Lineage: Bacteria
Description: bacterial SSU rRNA
Rfam family: Bacterial small subunit ribosomal RNA
Source: RNAcentral